Molecule: transfer RNA, 71 nt
Filed under: Marmota monax (woodchuck)
Lineage: Eukaryota; Metazoa; Chordata; Mammalia; Rodentia; Sciuridae
Description: tRNA.Ala
Rfam family: tRNA
About the family: Transfer RNA (tRNA) molecules are approximately 80 nucleotides in length. Their secondary structure includes four short double-helical elements and three loops (D, anti-codon, and T loops).
Source: RNAcentral
GGGGUUGUAGCUCAGUGGUGGAGCACUCACCUAGCAUGUGCAAGACCCUGGGUUCAAUCCUCAGCACCACA